AGUGAACGCUGGCGGUAGGCCUAACACAUGCAAGUCGAACGGCAGCACAGUAAGAGCUUGCUCUUACGGGUGGCGAGUGGCGGACGGGUGAGGAAUACAUCGGAAUCUACUUUUUCGUGGGGGAUAACGUAGGGAAACUUACGCUAAUACCGCAUACGACCUACGGGUGAAAGCAGGGGAUCUUCGGACCUUGCGCGAUUGAAUGAGCCGCUGUCGGAUUAGCUAGUUGGCGGGGUAAAGGCCCACCAAGGCGACGAUCCGUAGCUGGUCUGAGAGGAUGAUCGGCCACACUGGAACUGAGACACGGUCAAGACUCCUACGGGAGGCAGCAGUGGGGAAUAUUGGACAAUGGGCGCAAGCCUGAUCCAGCCAUACCGCGUGGGUGAAGAAGGCCUUCGGGUUGUAAAGCCCUUUUGUUGGGAAAGAAAAGCAGCAGGUUAAUACCCCGCUGUUCUGACGGUACCCAAAGAAUAAGCACCGGCUAACUUCGUG
Molecule: ribosomal RNA, 492 nt
Filed under: uncultured bacterium
Lineage: Bacteria
Description: partial 16S ribosomal RNA
Rfam family: Bacterial small subunit ribosomal RNA
Source: RNAcentral